AUUUAUAUAGUUUAAUAAAAACCUUACAUUUUCAUUGUAAAAAUAAAAUAAUUUUUUUUAUAAAUU
This 66-nucleotide transfer RNA is filed under the name Scaptodrosophila latifasciaeformis. RNAcentral's name for it is "tRNA-Glu". Lineage: Eukaryota; Metazoa; Arthropoda; Insecta; Diptera; Drosophilidae. The record is from RNAcentral.